Mytilus californianus (California mussel) is the source of this 460-nucleotide long non-coding RNA. RefSeq lists it as uncharacterized. NCBI's taxonomy places the organism in Eukaryota, Metazoa, Mollusca, Bivalvia, Mytilida, Mytilidae. The transcript has 2 exons. The record is from RefSeq and is a predicted model, not a curated record.
GUAACACCUUAACGAGUCAAGGUGUGGUCAGAAAUGUUUGUAUAAAGUUAGUUUACAAUGUGGCGUGGACACACACACUGGAUUUCUGAGGUCCCAGUUUGCGGGCUAGGUGUAUGUAGUUUUGUAUUGUAAAGUAUGGAGAUAUAGUACAGAUGGUGGUGAAACCUGUUGACAGUGCGGCGUUCCGUGUUUAUCAUCAAUAGUUUGGCAACAUAGAAUAUUUGGAGUCGAGUCUAGACAAUAGGGCAGCCGUAAUGUGUACACCGCUUAUGUUGGGCCAGUUUUGUGUAGUUACCGAAAACCAAAUACGUAAAAUUCCGUAGUAUCGUUUAUCCAGAUUUCAUAGUUUAAUAUAAAGAAGAAGGAACAGUUCAUUAAACAUUUGACAGUAUUAUUUCAUUUGAUUUCAUCUAUUUAUAUUUGUAAAUUUGUACCUAAUUAAAUUGUUAUUUUGUUUAAA